GUUCUCUCUCCUUGUUGCAUCCCCUCAUUUGUCAUCUGCUGUGUCACUGCAUGGGUAUGGCCUGGAGCUGCUCUGCCCUGCUGCAGUCUCGCCUAUAGAUGCAGAUGGAUUAAAUCCGUGGCAGAGCGCCCCACACCGGGUGAGGGGGUUCCUGCAAGAAGGAGGUAAAGACAGAUAGCAGAAAUCAAAGUGAAGUGAGCCUGCUGCCCCUGUGGCCCUCCAG
This 223-nucleotide long non-coding RNA is filed under the name Corvus moneduloides (New Caledonian crow). RNAcentral's name for it is "lncRNA (ENSCMUG00000019552.1)". The record is from RNAcentral. Lineage: Eukaryota; Metazoa; Chordata; Aves; Passeriformes; Corvidae.